UACGGGGGGAGCAAGCGUUGUUCGGAAUCACUGGGCGUAAAGCGCGUGUAGGCGGUUCGGUAAGUGGGAUGUGAAAUCCCUCGGCUCACCCGAGGACCUGCAUCCCAUACUGCUGAGCUUGAGUACAGGAGAGGGUGGGGGAAUUCCUGGUGUAGCGGUGAAAUGCGUAGAUAUCAGGAGGAACACCGGUGGCGAAGGCGCCCACCUGGCCUGCUACUGACGCUAAAGCGCGAAAGCUAGGGGAGCAAACGGG
This 253-nucleotide ribosomal RNA is filed under the name uncultured bacterium. RNAcentral describes it as "partial 16S ribosomal RNA". It matches the Rfam family "Bacterial small subunit ribosomal RNA", at positions 524 to 776 of the family's 1533-position model. The record is from RNAcentral.